Sinocyclocheilus rhinocerous is the source of this 546-nucleotide long non-coding RNA. RefSeq lists it as uncharacterized. Lineage: Eukaryota; Metazoa; Chordata; Actinopteri; Cypriniformes; Cyprinidae. The record is from RefSeq and is a predicted model, not a curated record. The transcript is spliced from 2 exons.
GUAUAGGUUACUAUGAUAACUGUGCCCUCUUUCCAUGCAGGGGGGAGGUAAUUGCCAAAGCUGGAUCAGAGGAAUCCGUUGUAUAUGCUGACAUAGACCUGCAGUAUUUGGCUGAUAUGCGUCAGCAGAUCCCAAUCACCACACAGCGACGGAAUGAUCUAUAUAGUGUUAAUAGUGUUCAGGAUGGCUGAACUCUCGUUCACACGAAGCACUGCAGUGGACAUUUAAUCUUGAUAUAAGAAAGACUAAGUCAGCACAUUGGGUUAGACACAAGUCUUCUUUAGUGUAAUGUGGGGCAUCGCACACAAAGAUGUUUUAAUGAUUGCGAACAACAAGUGCCUCACAAUUUGUAUUCCUUUGCUGAUUCUUUUACAACAGAAAUUAUAUUUGUAAUAGAUAAGAGGUUUUUCAGUGGUGAAAACAUUGGACGGUUAUGCCGUGAAAAAUAUUAAGCAUGAUGUUAAGUUGUUGAUAUUAUCAAGUGGUUUCCAAAUAAAAAUAAUUAGAUUUUAUACUGUAAUUGUAUUAAAAAAGAGAUUUACUUCA